GGCCAUAUCACAUUGAAACACUGGAUCCUAAUCAACACCAAAGUUAAGCAAUGUCGAACCUGGUCAGUACUUAGAUGGGUGAGCGCAUGGGAAUACCAGGUGCU
Molecule: non-coding RNA, 104 nt
Organism: Acanthosepion pharaonis
Lineage: Eukaryota; Metazoa; Mollusca; Cephalopoda; Sepiida; Sepiidae
Source: the annotation of a GenBank genome assembly